RNAcentral lists this ribosomal RNA (649 nucleotides) under Escherichia coli. RNAcentral describes it as "partial 23S ribosomal RNA". It matches the Rfam family "Bacterial large subunit ribosomal RNA", at positions 2153 to 2801 of the family's 2925-position model. The record is from RNAcentral. Lineage: Bacteria; Pseudomonadati; Pseudomonadota; Gammaproteobacteria; Enterobacterales; Enterobacteriaceae.
GGCUUUGAAGUGUGGACGCCAGUCUGCAUGGAGCCGACCUUGAAAUACCACCCUUUAAUGUUUGAUGUUCUAACGUUGGCCCCUAAUCGGGGUUGCGGACAGUGUCUGGUGGGUAGUUUGACUGGGGCGGUCUCCUCCUAAAGAGUAACGGAGGAGCACGAAGGUUGGCUAAUCCUGGUCGGACAUCAGGAGGUUAGUGCAAUGGCAUAAGCCAGCUUGACUGCGAGCGUGACGGCGCGAGCAGGUGCGAAAGCAGGUCAUAGUGAUCCGGUGGUUCUGAAUGGAAGGGCCAUCGCUCAACGGAUAAAAGGUACUCCGGGGAUAACAGGCUGAUACCGCCCAAGAGUUCAUAUCGACGGCGGUGUUUGGCACCUCGAUGUCGGCUCAUCACAUCCUGGGGCUGAAGUAGGUCCCAAGGGUAUGGCUGUUCGCCAUUUAAAGUGGUACGCGAGCUGGGUUUAGAACGUCGUGAGACAGUUCGGUCCCUAUCUGCCGUGGGCGCUGGAGAACUGAGGGGGGCUGCUCCUAGUACGAGAGGACCGGAGUGGACGCAUCACUGGUGUUCGGGUUGUCAUGCCAAUGGCACUGCCCGGUAGCUAAAUGCGGAAGAGAUAAGUGCUGAAAGCAUCUAAGCACGAAACUUGCCCCG